Molecule: long non-coding RNA, 304 nt
Organism: Sapajus apella (tufted capuchin)
Lineage: Eukaryota; Metazoa; Chordata; Mammalia; Primates; Cebidae
Exons: 3
Source: RefSeq, a predicted model, not a curated record
CAAUUAUUUUGAUUUUUAAAUCCCACAAAUAAGAGAACAUAUUAAGUUUGUCUUUCUGUGUCUAGCUUAUUUCACUUAACAUAAUGACCUCCAGUUCUAUCCAUGAAAUGUAGACAGCUAUAAAUGAAAUUGGCUAUGUUCUAAAUUCUCAAUGUUGAGAACAUGUCUUUUAAAAAUGUUUGUACAAGGUAUAGAUAAAAGUUAAGGUAGUCUCUGUCCCCUUGUAAUAAUAAAAAUUGCUCAAAUGCUUCCUAAUAUAUAUGUUAAUAACGGAGAUAUUUUCAUAAGGAAGACAAUUGUGGGA